GUGAUUUUUUUUUAAAUCAGAAUUUAAAAAAAUGGUUUAACAUUUAUUUUUUUGAGUAAUUUUGAACACCCUAAAAUAUCUAAAUUAAUCACAGCCAGCCUCACAGCUCUGGCUGUCGGGGCCACAGCCGGCAUCAUAUGUUGUUUAUGGUGGAGAGAUACCAAGGUCAAAGGGAAGAAACGUUCAGAUCAAACUGGGCAGGGUGACAGCGUUAACAACUUGUCACAGAUUAGCUUCAAUUUAUCCCGGAUAAGGGAAGAGUGCCACGGAGUUAAGAUGAACGUUGACCCAGACAUGAUCAAAGCGAUGAAAGUGCAUUCACAUGAAUAUCUCAUCUGCUGCCAAGUUAUCCAAGUCACUAACGCUUUGGCCGAUAUGGCAUAUCGUGUCGGAGGAAGAAAAUUAAUCGAGAAACUUGUUACUAUAUGUAACGAUUCAUAACAAAGGUUUAAAUGCCUGCUGUGUAUUUUGAAAAUAAAUCCAUGUGAACAUUAAA
Long non-coding RNA from Cimex lectularius (bed bug), 496 nucleotides. RefSeq lists it as uncharacterized. NCBI's taxonomy places the organism in Eukaryota, Metazoa, Arthropoda, Insecta, Hemiptera, Cimicidae. The transcript is spliced from 2 exons. The record is from RefSeq and is a predicted model, not a curated record.